GGGGGUUGUAAAUUGGCAUGGAAAUUUAAAGCAGGUUCUUGUUGGUGCACAGCACAAAUUAGUUAUAUAUGGGGAUGGUAGUUUUUUCAUCUUCAGUUGUCUCUGAUGCAGCUUAUACGAAAUAAUUGUUGUUCUGUUAACUGAAUACCACUCUGUAAUUGCAAAAAAAAAAAAAAAAGUUGCAGCUGUUUUGUUGACAUUCUGAAUGCUUCUAAGUAAAUACAAUUUUUUUAUUAGUAUUGUUGUCCUUUUCAUAGGUCUGAAAUUUUUCUUCUUGAGGGGAAGCUAGUCUUUUGCUUUUGCCCAUUUUGAAUCACAUGAAUUAUUACAGUGUUUAUCCUUUCAUAUAGUUAGCUAAUAAAAAGCUUUUGUCUACCCACCCUGCAUAUCAUAAUGAGGGUAAAGUUAAGUUGAGAUAGUUUUCAUCCAUAACUGAACAUCCAAAAUCUUGAUCAGUUAAGAAAUUUCACAUAGCCCACUUACAUUUACAAACUGAAGAGUAAUCAAUCUACUCAAAGCAUGGGAUUACUAGAAUCAAACAUUUUGAAAGUCUGUCCUUGAAGGACUAAUAGAAAAGUAUGUUCUAACCUUUACAUGAGGACUCUAUUCUUUAACUCCCAUUACCAUGUAAUGGCAGUUAUAUUUUGCAGUUCCCACAUUAAAGAAGACCUGAGAAUGUAUCCCCAAAAGCGUGAGCUUAAAAUACAAGACUGCCAUAUUAAAUUUUUUGUUGACAUUAGUCUCAGUGAAGACUAUGAAAAUGCUGGCUAUAGAUGUCUUUUCCCAUUUAUCUAAAUAUGGACUGCUCAGGAAACGAGACUUUCCAUUACAAGUAUUUUUAAUUAAUUGGGCCAGCUUUUCAAACAAAGAUGCCACAUUCAAAAUAGGGUAUAUUUUCCUAUAUUACGGUUUGCCCCUUUAUAAAUCCAAGUAGAUAGGAG
Molecule: long non-coding RNA, 941 nt
Filed under: Homo sapiens (human)
Lineage: Eukaryota; Metazoa; Chordata; Mammalia; Primates; Hominidae
Description: lncAB200.1
Source: RNAcentral